This is a long non-coding RNA of Sebastes umbrosus (honeycomb rockfish), 667 nucleotides long. RefSeq lists it as uncharacterized. Lineage: Eukaryota; Metazoa; Chordata; Actinopteri; Perciformes; Sebastidae. The transcript is spliced from 2 exons. The record is from RefSeq and is a predicted model, not a curated record.
CUUCUUCCUUAGUUUUUCUAUUUCACAUCUGCAAAUCUAUAAACAGUAUCCACAACAUGUCUUGAUGCCUUGUGCAGAGAUCCUACUGUAAGCCUUUGUCACACACACAUAUACAAUUAUAGCAAAUGUCUUCAAUUAUUUACAAAGUACUAAAAAUGUAACUGUUUUUAGAAAUUCAAUCAUUCCAUCACUCUUGAAGUUUUGCACUUUAAUGAUUUGUAAUUUGAAAUUCUAAUAUUUAGUUUCUGUUAUUGUUUCAUUCAUAGAUAUGUUUUGAAAUUACAGUCAUACCCAGGUUAUUUUUGAAACAGUAGGUGAAUUAGAUUUUGGGAGAGUUUAUAUAUGGACCAGUAAUAUGCAGCUUUUCUCCUCUCUGGUUCUAGCUGCUCCUGAUCAGUACCAAAGUUUAUGUGGGUUUAUGUUAGCAACAUGCACAUUUAAAUGAGUUUAUGAUUCAUUACAGCCUUUGAAUUAUGUGGUCAUUCCUUGCAGGUUUUUACACCAUGAGUAUUGGGUAUGGUUUAGUUAGUUACUACACUUCAAGUUGUUCUUCCAUGAUCUGUGUUGUUUCAUUUUCUUAUUGUGGCAUUGGUGUGAAAAUGGCAUGAAAGUGUUUUUUAAAUUCACUUGUUUUAACCAGUCAAUAAAAACAAUCCACAUCUUAGAA